UACGAAGGUGGCAAGCGUUGUUCGGAUUUACUGGGCGUACAGGGAGCGUAGGCGGUUGGAUAAGCCCUCCGUGAAAUCUCCAGGCUUAACCUGGAAAGUGCAGAGGGGACUGUUCAGCUAGAGGAUGGGAGAGGAGCGCGGAAUUCCCGGUGUAGCGGUGAAAUGCGCAGAUAUCGGGAGGAACACCAAUGGCGAAGGCAGCUCGCUGGGACGGUACUGACGCUGAGACGCGAAAGCGUGGGGAGCAAACAGG
RNAcentral lists this ribosomal RNA (253 nucleotides) under uncultured bacterium. RNAcentral describes it as "partial 16S ribosomal RNA". It matches the Rfam family "Bacterial small subunit ribosomal RNA", at positions 524 to 776 of the family's 1533-position model. The record is from RNAcentral.